GACGAACGCUGGCGGCGUGCCUAAUACAUGCAAGUAGAACGCUGAAGACUUUAGCUUGCUAAAGUUGGAAGAGUUGCGAACGGGUGAGUAACGCGUAGGUAACCUGCCUACUAGCGGGGGAUAACUAUUGGAAACGAUAGCUAAUACCGCAUAACAGCAUUUAACCCAUGUUAGAUGCUUGAAAGGAGCAAUUGCUUCACUAGUAGAUGGACCUGCGUUGUAUUAGCUAGUUGGUGAGGUAACGGCUCACCAAGGCGACGAUACAUAGCCGACCUGAGAGGGUGAUCGGCCACACUGGGACUGAGACACGGCCCAGACUCCUACGGGAGGCAGCAGUAGGGAAUCUUCGGCAAUGGGGGCAACCCUGACCGAGCAACGCCGCGUGAGUGAAGAAGGUUUUCGGAUCGUAAAGCUCUGUUGUAAGAGAAGAACGUGUGUGAGAGUGGAAAGUUCACACAGUGACGGUAACUUACCAGAAAGGG
Molecule: ribosomal RNA, 482 nt
Filed under: uncultured bacterium
Lineage: Bacteria
Description: bacterial SSU rRNA
Rfam family: Bacterial small subunit ribosomal RNA
Source: RNAcentral